This 601-nucleotide ribosomal RNA is filed under the name Vibrio harveyi. RNAcentral describes it as "bacterial SSU rRNA". It matches the Rfam family "Bacterial small subunit ribosomal RNA", at positions 76 to 665 of the family's 1533-position model. The record is from RNAcentral. Lineage: Bacteria; Pseudomonadati; Pseudomonadota; Gammaproteobacteria; Vibrionales; Vibrionaceae.
ACCUUCGGGGGACGAUAACGGCGUCGAGCGGCGGACGGGUGAGUAAUGCCUAGGAAAUUGCCCUGAUGUGGGGGAUAACCAUUGGAAACGAUGGCUAAUACCGCAUAAUACCUUCGGGUCAAAGAGGGGGACCUUCGGGCCUCUCGCGUCAGGAUAUGCCUAGGUGGGAUUAGCUAGUUGGUGAGGUAAUGGCUCACCAAGGCGACGAUCCCUAGCUGGUCUGAGAGGAUGAUCAGCCACACUGGAACUGAGACACGGUCCAGACUCCUACGGGAGGCAGCAGUGGGGAAUAUUGCACAAUGGGCGCAAGCCUGAUGCAGCCAUGCCGCGUGUGUGAAGAAGGCCUUCGGGUUGUAAAGCACUUUCAGUCGUGAGGAAGGUAGUGUAGUUAAUAGCUGCAUUAUUUGACGUUAGCGACAGAAGAAGCACCGGCUAACUCCGUGCCAGCAGCCGCGGUAAUACGGAGGGUGCGAGCGUUAAUCGGAAUUACUGGGCGUAAAGCGCAUGCAGGUGGUUUGUUAAGUCAGAUGUGAAAGCCCGGGGCUCAACCUCGGAAUAGCAUUUGAAACUGGCAGACUAGAGUACUGUAGAGGGGGGUAGA